Molecule: ribosomal RNA, 204 nt
Filed under: uncultured bacterium
Lineage: Bacteria
Description: partial 16S ribosomal RNA
Rfam family: Bacterial small subunit ribosomal RNA
Source: RNAcentral
GUAGUCUGCAACUCGACUACAUGAAGCUGGAAUCGCUAGUAAUCGCGGAUCAGAAUGCCGCGGUGAAUACGUCCCCGGGUCUUGUACACACCGCCCGUCACACCAUGGGAGUCAGUAACGCCCGAAGCCGGUGACCCAACCUAUUCUGGAGGGAGCCGUCGAAGGCGGGACGGAUGACUGGGGGUGAAGUCGUAACAAGGUAGC